Molecule: ribosomal RNA, 370 nt
Filed under: uncultured bacterium
Lineage: Bacteria
Description: bacterial SSU rRNA
Rfam family: Bacterial small subunit ribosomal RNA
Source: RNAcentral
GUAGGGUGCGAGCGUUAAUCGGAAUUACUGGGCGUAAAGCGUGCGCAGGCGGUUUUAUAAGCCAGAUGUGAAAGCCCCGGGCUCAACCUGGGAACGGCAUUUGGGACUGUAAAGCUGGAGUAUGGCAGAGGAGACUAGAAUUCCUGGUGUAGCAGUGAAAUGCGUAGAUAUCAGGAGGAAUACCGAUGGCGAAGGCAGGUCUCUGGGCCAAUACUGACGCUCAUGCACGAAAGCGUGGGGAGCAAACAGGAUUAGAUACCCUGGUAGUCCACGCCCUAAACGAUGUCAACUGGUUGUUGGGGGAUUUAUUCUCUUAGUAACGAAGCUAACGCGUGAAGUUGACCGCCUGGGGAGUACGGUCGCAAGAUUA